This 368-nucleotide ribosomal RNA is filed under the name uncultured organism. RNAcentral's name for it is "bacterial SSU rRNA". It matches the Rfam family "Bacterial small subunit ribosomal RNA", at positions 526 to 896 of the family's 1533-position model. The record is from RNAcentral.
CGUAGGUGGCAAGCGUUGUCCGGAUUUAUUGGGUUUAAAGGGUGCGUAGGCGGCUUUGUAAGUCAGUGGUGAAAUAUGGCAGCUCAACUGUCAGGGUGCCAUUGAUACUGCAGAGCUUGAGUACAGAUGAGGUAGGCGGAAUUGACGGUGUAGCGGCGAAAUGCUUAGAUAUCGUCAAGGACACCGAUAGCGAAGGCAGCUUACUAGGCUGUAACUGACGCUGAGGCACGAAAGUGUGGGGAUCAAACAGGAUUAGAUACCCUGGUAGUCCACACUGUAAACGUUGAUGACUCGCUGUUGGCGAUACACGGCCAGCGGCAGAGAGAAAUCGUUAAGUCAUCCACCUGGGGAGUACGCCGGCAACGGUG